Non-coding RNA from Acanthosepion pharaonis, 91 nucleotides. Lineage: Eukaryota; Metazoa; Mollusca; Cephalopoda; Sepiida; Sepiidae. The record is from the annotation of a GenBank genome assembly.
UUACGGCCAUAUCACGUUGAAACACCAGUUCCCGAACGAACAUCGAAGUUAAGCAACGUUGAGCCUUAUCAGUACCUAGAUAGGUGACCUC